GGGAUGUUAUUUCUGGUAACAAUCUUUUCUGUUUAAGCUACUGAUGACAAUAUGCAGCGAGUUAAACAAUUUCUUUGUGAGUUGAUGCAGAUGCGCUCGAAUAUUGAGCAAGAGAUGAAUAAAUUGCGACACUCCCGAGAAUCUUUGGAAAGUACUGGAAGAAGAUAUAAAAUGUUGCAAUGAUUUUAUUAAGACUCGCGUGAGGAAUAUUGUAAACGUUUAAAUGCAUUCAGUGCAGAAGUUACGCGGUGUGAAUCCCUGCGCAAAACAAAUCUUUAAAUUCAUAUUAAAACUUCGUUGUGAGAUAAACGUGUUAUAGAAUAAAGCAAGAUGUUCCGACGCAAGGCGUGCAGAAUUUGCGGUGUACAUGGGAAACAACAUGUGUACUGAAGAUUUACUCACUUUACACGACAUAGAAAACGAUAGAGAGGAAGCAUGUCUGCGACACAAUUAGCAACUAAUUGAGCUUAUGAAGCUUAGAAAAGUGCGCUAGCAGUUGCUAAAAGAAGAAAAGGAAAAAGAAAAUCUCUUGCAUCGAGGACGAACAACUUAAUCUGGCUAUCGAAUACGAUGGGAAACACGACAUGAAGUUUAUGUACUUGAAAGGGAGUAUUGAGGAAAUAAAUGGAAAGUCACGUUAAGUUUUUGUCCAGGGGAAAAAAUGCGGAGCCAAAUCUAGGAAAAUAAAAAUGAGAUCUUACGAUGAGCGCCAAUAAUAUAGUGGGUGCGAAUAUUUUCGUCUAUAUAAAGUCAUCGCUGUUUUAUUACUUUUGUAGGACGAGAACCAAAAACAGCACCAGUACGAAAUGUACUAAUCGGAAGAUGAUUAAUCAACAAAGCUAUAAUACAUUUAUCAACUUCUAAAAAGAAACGCACAAAACACGAAUUAUCGUCCCAAAGUGAAAAUCGUUACAGCAAAUUAGAAGGGUAGUGCGUCAACUUUCCAUAAAAAAAUUAUUAUCUGUCAAUACUUGUUUCUUCAAGACUUCUCAAAAAAUCGUAUUUAUCAAACAAUUAAAAUAAUUCCGGUUUCUUCUAGACAUAUCUUAAUUAAAUGUCCCCAUUUACAACUCUCUAUUCUCCUCCUAAAACACCCAGUAUCACAGUUAAGAAAUUUAAGGAAUUUUAAAUUUUGUAUAGAAAUUUAUUGAAACAUUAUAGUUGCACUUUAUGAUUACAGUAGUUAAUAAAUGCUGGUUUGCAGCAGUAAAUUUA
Long non-coding RNA from Dalotia coriaria, 1215 nucleotides. RefSeq lists it as uncharacterized. The record is from RefSeq and is a predicted model, not a curated record. The transcript is spliced from 3 exons. NCBI's taxonomy places the organism in Eukaryota, Metazoa, Arthropoda, Insecta, Coleoptera, Staphylinidae.